UGCAAGUCGAACGAUGAACCACCUUCGGGUGGGGAUUAGUGGCGAACGGGUGAGUAACACGUGGGCAAUCUGCCCUGCACUCUGGGACAAGCCCUGGAAACGGGGUCUAAUACCGGAUACUGACCUGCCAAGGCAUCUUGGCGGGUCGAAAGCUCCGGCGGUGCAGGAUGAGCCCGCGGCCUAUCAGCUUGUUGGUGAGGUAAUGGCUCACCAAGGCGACGACGGGUAGCCGGCCUGAGAGGGCGACCGGCCACACUGGGACUGAGACACGGCCCAGACUCCUACGGGAGGCAGCAGUGGGGAAUAUUGCACAAUGGGCGCAAGCCUGAUGCAGCGACGCCGCGUGAGGGAUGACGGCCUUCGGGUUGUAAACCUCUUUCAGCAGGGAAGAAGCGAAAGUGACGGUACCUGCAGAAGAAGCGCCGGCUAACUACGUGCCAGCAGCCGCGGUAAUACGUAGGGCGCAAGCGUUGUCCGGAAUUAUUGGGCGUAAAGAGCUCGUAGGCGGCUUGUCGCGUCGGUUGUGAAAGCCCGGGGCUUAACCCCGGGUCUGCAGUCGAUACGGGCAGGCUAGAGUUCGGUAGGGGAGAUCGGAAUUCCUGGUGUAGCGGUGAAAUGCGCAGAUAUCAGGAGGAACACCGGUGGCGAAGGCGGAUCUCUGGGCCGAUACUGACGCUGAGGAGCGAAAGCGUGGGGAGCGAACAGGAUUAGAUACCCUGGUAGUCCACGCCGUAAACGGUGGGCACUAGGUGUGGGCAACAUUCCACGUUGUCCGUGCCGCAGCUAACGCAUUAAGUG
RNAcentral lists this ribosomal RNA (798 nucleotides) under Streptomyces coelicoflavus. RNAcentral's name for it is "bacterial SSU rRNA". It matches the Rfam family "Bacterial small subunit ribosomal RNA", at positions 56 to 866 of the family's 1533-position model. The record is from RNAcentral. Lineage: Bacteria; Bacillati; Actinomycetota; Actinomycetes; Kitasatosporales; Streptomycetaceae.